UACGUAGGGGGCAAGCGUUGUCCGGAUUUAUUGGGCGUAAAGAGCUCGUAGGCGGCCGGUUGCGUCUGCUGUGAAAUCCCGGGGCUUAACCCCGGGCGUGCAGUGGAUACGGGCCGGCUGGAGGCAGGCAGGGGAGAAUGGAAUUCCCGGUGUAGAGGUGAAAUUCGUAGAUAUUGGGAAGAACACCGGUGGCGAAGGCGGCGACCUGGUCCGAUACUGACGCUGAGGCGCGAAAGCGUGGGGAGCAAACAGG
RNAcentral lists this ribosomal RNA (253 nucleotides) under uncultured bacterium. RNAcentral's name for it is "partial 16S ribosomal RNA". It matches the Rfam family "Bacterial small subunit ribosomal RNA", at positions 524 to 776 of the family's 1533-position model. The record is from RNAcentral.